This 254-nucleotide ribosomal RNA is filed under the name uncultured bacterium. Its description in RNAcentral is "partial 16S ribosomal RNA". It matches the Rfam family "Bacterial small subunit ribosomal RNA", at positions 524 to 776 of the family's 1533-position model. The record is from RNAcentral.
UACGAAGGGGGCGAGCGUUGUUCGGAAUUACUGGGCGUAAAGGCGCGUAGGCGGCCGAUCAAGUCAGAUGUGAAAGUCCUGGGCUUAACCUGGGGACUGCAUUUGAUACUGAUUGGCUUGAAUGCAGGAGAGGAUAGCGGAAUUCCCAGUGUAGAGGUGAAAUUCGUAGAUAUUGGGAAGAACACCGGUGGCGAAGGCGGCUAUCUGGACUGUGAUUGACGCUGGAGGCGACGAAAGCGUUGGGGAGCAACAGG